GACGAACCGAGCAAACGUUAUUCGGAAUCACUGGGCUUAAAGGGCGCGUAGGCGGGUCAGCAAGUCAGGGGUGAAAGCCCCCAGCUCAACUGGGGAAGUGCCUUUGAUACUGUUGAUCUCGAGGGAGGUAGGGGCGUGCGGAACUUCCGGUGGAGCGGUGAAAUGCGUAGAUAUCGGAAGGAACACCGGUGGCGAAAGCGGCGCGCUGGACCUCUUCUGACGAUGAGGCGCGAAAGCCAGGGGAGCAAACGGG
This 253-nucleotide ribosomal RNA is filed under the name uncultured bacterium. RNAcentral describes it as "partial 16S ribosomal RNA". It matches the Rfam family "Bacterial small subunit ribosomal RNA", at positions 524 to 776 of the family's 1533-position model. The record is from RNAcentral.